UAGGGAAUCUUCCGCAAUGGGCGAAAGCCUGACGGAGCAACGCCGCGUGAGUGAUGAAGGUCUUCGGAUCGUAAAACUCUGUUAUUAGGGAAGAACAAAUGUGUAAGUAACUAUGCACGUCUUGACGGUACCUAAUCAGAAAGCCACGGCUAACUACGUGCCAGCAGCCGCGGUAAUACGUAGGUGGCAAGCGUUAUCCGGAAUUAUUGGGCGUAAAGCGCGCGUAGGCGGUUUUUUAAGUCUGAUGUGAAAGCCCACGGCUCAACCGUGGAGGGUCAUUGGAAACUGGAAAACUUGAGUGCAGAAGAGGAAAGUGGAAUUCCAUGUGUAGCGGUGAAAUGCGCAGAGAUAUGGAGGAACACCAGUGGCGAAGGCGACUUUCUGGUCUGUAACUGACGCUGAUGUGCGAAAGCGUGGGGAUCAUACAGG
RNAcentral lists this ribosomal RNA (429 nucleotides) under Actinomycetes bacterium. Its description in RNAcentral is "Actinobacteria bacterium partial 16S ribosomal RNA". It matches the Rfam family "Bacterial small subunit ribosomal RNA", at positions 355 to 776 of the family's 1533-position model. The record is from RNAcentral. Lineage: Bacteria; Bacillati; Actinomycetota; Actinomycetes.